UCCUUUAGAAUUUAAUUUAAGGUCUAACCUGCCCACUGAUUUAUUUUAAUGGCCGCAGUAAUUUGACUGUGCAAAGGUAGCAUAAUCAUUAGUUUUUUAAUUAAAAGCUUGUAUGAAGGGUUGGACGAGGUAAAAUCUGUCUCUGGAUAAUUUAAUUUAGAAUUUAACUUUUAAGUCAAAAGGCUUAAAUAAAAUUAAAAGACGAGAAGACCCUAUAGAUCUUUAUAAUUUAUUUAUUAGAUUUAAUUAGGAAUUUUUUAAAUUUUAUUAAUGUAAUUAUUUUAUUGGGGUAAUAUAAAGAUUAAAUAAAUUCUUUAUUUUUAUUUACAUUAAUUUAUGAUUUUAUGAUCCAAUUUUAUUGAUUAUAAGAUUAAGUUACCUUAGGGAUAACAGCGUAAUUUUUUUAAAGAGUUCUUAUCGAUAAAAAAGUUUGCGACCUCGAUGUUGGAUUAAAGAUUAUUUCAGGUGCAGAAGUUUGAAAAUUUUGGUCUGUUCGACCAUUAAAUCUUUACAUGAUCUGAGUUCAGACCGGCGUAAGCCAGGUCGGUUUCUAUCUUUAAUAAAUUAAAAUAUUUUAGUACGAAAGGACCAAUUAUUUAAUAAAAAAAUUAUUUUAAUUUUUGAUUAUUAUUAA
Molecule: ribosomal RNA, 634 nt
Filed under: Nebria numburica
Lineage: Eukaryota; Metazoa; Arthropoda; Insecta; Coleoptera; Carabidae
Description: partial large subunit ribosomal RNA
Rfam family: Bacterial large subunit ribosomal RNA
Source: RNAcentral